This 522-nucleotide ribosomal RNA is filed under the name Triticum aestivum (bread wheat). Its description in RNAcentral is "partial small subunit ribosomal RNA". Lineage: Eukaryota; Viridiplantae; Streptophyta; Magnoliopsida; Poales; Poaceae. The record is from RNAcentral.
AUGGGCCUCCCCGCUCGACUCAUCCGCGGCUGGUGCGGCUUGGCAGUCCUUUGCCUGCGCCUGUGCGCAUCAUCCUGCAACCCAGACGUUGCGCCGAUAGAGCCUCUGCCCGCGAGGUCGCUGCAGUGCUUCGAGGACGGCCAGGUGUACGGGUGCUGCGAGGGCGCGCUCCGGCUGGACCCGUCGGGGGUGAUGGGCGUGCCGCUGGGGGCGGUGGACUACUACUGCGGCGGGGCGUGCGUGGUGGAGACGGAGGACGUGCUCAACUGCGUGGCCAGCGCGCUGGACGGCUUCAGCUUCCACAACGGCGCCUCCGUGGAGGGCGCGCGCUACGCCCUCAGGAGGGGGUGCAGCCACACCAUCAAGAGAGGGGACUUCAACGCUUUGGAGCCACCCAUGAGCGACUACCCGGACAUCUACGGUGACUACCGCGGCCAUGCCUGCAGGGCUACGCCUCCUCGCAGCAUCAACUUGCUCGCGUUUCUCGCUGGCGCCUGGCUGCUGCUCAUUCAGGGUCGCUGA